AUACUACUCCCUCUGUCCGGAAUUACUUGUCGCUCAAACAGAUGUAUCUAGCACUGAAAUAUGUCUAGAUACAUCCAUUUUAGCGACAACCAACUCCGGACAGAGGUAGUACUAU
Triticum aestivum (bread wheat) is the source of this 115-nucleotide non-coding RNA. The record is from Rfam. NCBI's taxonomy places the organism in Eukaryota, Viridiplantae, Streptophyta, Magnoliopsida, Poales, Poaceae.